Molecule: long non-coding RNA, 1168 nt
Filed under: Canis lupus familiaris (dog)
Lineage: Eukaryota; Metazoa; Chordata; Mammalia; Carnivora; Canidae
Description: lncRNA (ENSCAFG00000051373.1)
Source: RNAcentral
CUUUUUUUUAAGUGAAGACAUAAGACAUGGGGGAAAAUGGGAAGUAGAUGCUGGAAACUCAUUUAGUGGGGAUUCUGAUGCACGGUGAGUAUGUGUAGGGGGCAGCGGAGGGGUUUGUGCAAAAGUGCCCCGGGAUCAGAGCUAGCUGGCUCACUUGACACACAAGAGGAAUGGGGUUGAAGCCACUCAGUGGUCCUCCUGCAUUCCGACAGGACCCCACACCUCUUCUUGCGGAAACAACUUUGUUUCUGACUCUCUAAUUCCAGCAGGUAGGUGGAACGUGGUUCUGGAAAGUACUCUGUAACUUCUUACACAUCUUUCACACGCGCAGAAGUUUCCAUUGACCGUGAAGGACUUUCAGUAUGCCGGAGCUCUGUAGCUUAAUAUUCCUGUGCUCCUCUUCGGGGACCUAACGCUAGAGAGUCAGCUGUGGAAUUCAGGGGUACGCCAGGAGGGAGCCUCCGUGUGUUGGGAAGCACCUGUUUGGAAUCCGGGCCAUCGGGAUCGUCCAGGACUUUGAGAGAACAGUCCUGCUGCCAGCCGGAGAGGCUGUGGGAAGCGAGCCUGGUGGGGAGGAAAGAAAAGACGACUUCUGGAGGCCAAGUUGGAAAACGAGGGUCUUCACAAUGAGCUGCUUCAAUCCUUGAGAGCAAUCACAUUGAAUUUGAAAUAUGAAUGUCCAUGUACUUUCCCGGCUUUCGUGUUCGUCCAAGGCAGCCACGUAGUGGAGAAAUUCAGGGACUUCUCACGUGCAGAGCCUGCUCUCCGGUGUUUCUUCCCCGACAGAAGAAAGCAACAACCAGGAUCCGAGGGGGGCUUCACUUCUUGCUGAUAUUAGUGAAUUUUAACACAACUUCAGACACACGGAGGGAUGAAUGACUGUAUGUUUCAGGCUCUGAUUUAACCAUUUGCAUAAACUGCUGGAUAUCUCAUGGAAAAAAUUGAGUGUUUUUUUUUAAUUAAGAUUUUAUUUAUUUAUUCAUGAGACACCCAGAGAGAGAGGCAGAGACACAGGCAGAGGGAGAAGCAGGCUCCAUGCACCGGGAGCCCGACGUGGGAUUCGAUCCCGAGUCUCCAGGAUCGCGCCCUGGGCCAAAGGCAGGUGCCGAACUGCUGCGCCACCCAGGGAUCCCUGAAUCCCAGUUCUUACACUUGGCUCUGCGUCCCU